CUCUCUCUCUCUCUCUCUCGUAAUCCUUCUCCUUCCUGUAUCUCUCGAUCUCUCAAUCAGGAACAAGGUAGGAGAUCCAAAAUCCAUGCAGAUCCCCCACUAUCGAUUUUGGAUCUGCUCCGAUGGUGAAGUUUCUGCUGGAGCAUCUGGAGAAAUCGAUUUUCGAUUUGCUCCGACGGUGAAGUUUCUGCUGGAGUAGUAUCAGUCCUAAUCGAGUUUGGAUCUGCUCCGAUGGUGAAGUUUCUGCUGGAGCAUCUGGAGAAAUCGAUUUUCGAUCUGCUCCGACGGUGAAGUUUCUGCUGGAGCAUCAGUCUUAAUCGAGUUUGGAUCUGCUCCGAUGGUGAAGAUUCUGCUGGAGCAUCUGGAGAAAUUGAUUUUCGAUCUGCUCCGACGGUGAAGUUUCUGUUGGAGCAUCUGGAGAAAUCUGGGUGUGGGAUAUUAGACGGGUCUUGCUGGGCCGUUCAUUGCGAGAAGAAGAUUGCCGGAGUAUACACCCGCCGCGGAUGGAUUCGUGCUGGCCAUCUUAGUGGUGAUUGCCACUGUAAACGUGAAUUUUUGCUGUGCCAAGAAGAUUCGAGAAUUGUGAACAAGCUCAGUUCAUUGAUCAAGACCCUUUGCAGCAGCAAGUGCAAUUUUCAUUCAUCCAUCAAAUUUGCAGCACCAAGUGCAAUUUUCAGUUCAGGCUCAGUUCACAGAGUACAGGGCUUUUCAAUUAAGAAUAGGUAUAUUAAUUUUAAUUUGUUUUUUUUUUAAUAUGAAAUUUUGCAGUCACCAUUGCUAGAAGAGAUGAUUAAUGUCUUUUUUUCCAGGUAAAUUUCCCUCUCCAUUUUCUUCUCCUUUUCCAUCAAAUUGUGUUUACCAAUUGCACAAUUAUAUUUUCCUUUUCAUGUCAUCGCAAUUAUGAUUUCCACUGGUUUGAUUCAUUUUUUCUUUCGAAGCUAUAAUUUUUGUUCAAGGAGCUCGAAAGAAAUUUAGUUUUGACACUCAUCUGAUCUUUGCUUGGAACAUUUUACCAUAAUUGAAAUCUAUAUUUUUGUUUUUGCAAUUUUUUUUUUCCUUCUAAGAAUUGGUUGGGUUGGUUUUAUUCUAAGAAUGACAAUUAGGAUCACAAUAGUGGUGUAACUUUGAAUAAUAUCAAGUUAUGAACAGAUAUAAAAUGGAACAUAAGUAGAGCAAAUGAACUGUAAAGACAUUUUGGUUGAGUUUUUAUUUUAUACUGUUUGGUACUUUGGUUUAAUAUGCAGCUGAUUUGCUAUAAAUGGGAGAAAAUGA
Molecule: long non-coding RNA, 1272 nt
Organism: Rosa rugosa (rugosa rose)
Lineage: Eukaryota; Viridiplantae; Streptophyta; Magnoliopsida; Rosales; Rosaceae
Exons: 3
Source: RefSeq, a predicted model, not a curated record